Molecule: ribosomal RNA, 253 nt
Filed under: uncultured bacterium
Lineage: Bacteria
Description: partial 16S ribosomal RNA
Rfam family: Bacterial small subunit ribosomal RNA
Source: RNAcentral
UACGGGGGGGGCAAGCGUUGUUCGGAAUUACUGGGCGUAAAGGGCUCGUAGGCGGCCAACUAAGUCGGACGUGAAAUCCCCAGGCUCAACCUGGGAACUGCGUCCGAUACUGGAUGGCUUGAAUCCGGGAGAGGGAUGCAGAAUUCCAGGUGUAGCGGUGAAAUGCGUAGAUAUCGGAAGGAACAUCAGUGGCGAAAGCGGCUUCCUGGUCCAGCACCGACGUUCAGGCACGAAAGCGUGGGGAGCAAACAGG